GGCCUGGUGGUAUAGUUAGAAUCACAUUAUCUAAAUUUCAGAGGAAGUUCUUUGUUCGAAUCAAGGCCAGGCUG
This is a non-coding RNA of Mycena rebaudengoi, 74 nucleotides long. NCBI's taxonomy places the organism in Eukaryota, Fungi, Basidiomycota, Agaricomycetes, Agaricales, Mycenaceae. The record is from the annotation of a GenBank genome assembly.